UUAAACAAUUAAGUAGCUUACUUGUUUUACAAUAUUUUGACAUAUCUUAUAGCUUGCGACCAUAGUCCUCAUUUUCGAAUCCCCAUCUCCAUGCUACUACAUGUAUCGUAUCAUCAUUGUACAUAUCUACUUCCUCUGUUCUUAAAUAUAUAUUUCACUAGAGACUACAUGUCUAAAACAUGUCUACACGGAACAAAAUAAAUGAAUCUAUGCUCUAAAACAUGUCUCUAUACAUUUAUAUGUAGUCCGUUAGUGAAACCUCUAAAAAAACUUAUAUUUAGGAGCAAAGGGAGUAAAAACUAUCCAACUAUCUAGCCGUCGUCGGAUAUGUCGAUGACCCCCUUGCAGGAGCUGUCGGCCUCAUGGUCAUUGGCGUUUGGGCGAAACGCAAGGCCUCCUCCUUGUUCUUCGCCCCCGCAUCUACAAAGAAAUUCUCACGUUUCACGUACACCUCGUGGAUGAAGUGGCGCUUUGCCGCCACCUUCACCUCGGAUUGGAUGGACUCGAGGGUGACCUGCUUCUCUACCGCCUACUCUGUUUCGACGAGCUCGAACUCCGCCAGCGUGUCCUCGACUCCAAACCAGGCCAGCUUCGGUGCCAGCGACUUCUCAUCCUAGUCCGGUGACGCCUCGUCCACCCAUGCCUAUGCCUCUUCCAUCUCCUUGUCCGAUGUCUUCACCUACUCCUUUGGGGUUCAAAGGCACGCCAGCUGCAAUACACGCAGCGUGGCGUGCUUUGACGGUGCACAUCUUCCGCCCCGACAUUCCAGGGGUCAACAACUUUUAGUGUGUCACCUUGGUGUGAACCAUGGCGGCAGGAGGAUGGCAACGACUGACGACGAGCUCGGAUUGUAAGUGGAAGAAGGUCAGGGAGAGGAGGGAUCAACGAAGGUGCGGACGGGAGGGGAGAGGGGGGAAAUGGAAUGUGGCUGGGGG
This 935-nucleotide long non-coding RNA is filed under the name Hordeum vulgare. RNAcentral's name for it is "long non-coding RNA (HVUL_LNC011569)". Lineage: Eukaryota; Viridiplantae; Streptophyta; Magnoliopsida; Poales; Poaceae. The record is from RNAcentral.